This 253-nucleotide ribosomal RNA is filed under the name uncultured bacterium. RNAcentral describes it as "partial 16S ribosomal RNA". It matches the Rfam family "Bacterial small subunit ribosomal RNA", at positions 524 to 776 of the family's 1533-position model. The record is from RNAcentral.
UACGUAGGGGGCAAGCGUUGUUCGGAUUCAUUGGGCGUAAAGCGCGCGUAGGCGGCCCUGUAAGUCCGCUGUAAAAGUCAAAGGCUCAACCUUUGAAAGCCGGUGGAUACUGCAGGGCUAGAGUCCGGAAGAGGCGAGUGGAAUUCCUGGUGUAGCGGUGAAAUGCGUAGAUAUCAGGAGGAACACCGGCGGUGUAGACGGCUUUCUGGACCAUUACUGACGCUGAGAUACGAAAGCGUGGGUAGCAAACAGG